GAGAUCUUCCCGGUGUUUCACGAUCUCUUCCAGCGCCGCAGCCAGCAGGAAAGGACCGGGUCAUGACCGCGACUGACCAGUUGCUGUUCGAGGGUGCCGACUGGAAUUUCCGGACGCUGCAGCGGAUUUGCGAUGCCUGCGAGCAGGUUGCGGUGCAAGAAUUGGGGCUCGACGUCUAUCCCAACCAGAUCGAGGUCAUCACCGCCGAGCAGAUGCUGGACGCCUAUUCAUCCGUCGGCAUGCCGCUGUUCUACAAGCAUUGGUCGUUCGGCAAGCAUUUUGCCUUUCAGGAGGCGUCCUACCGCAAGGGGCUGAUGGGUCUGGCCUACGAGAUCGUCAUCAACUCCUCGCCGU
This 354-nucleotide unclassified non-coding RNA is filed under the name uncultured fungus. RNAcentral describes it as "sequence contains ITS1". The record is from RNAcentral. Lineage: Eukaryota; Fungi.